GAACUUCAAAUGCAAUAGGUGGUGCACCAAGGAAACCUCCACUUUCAAUUCUUUCAAAUUUAUCAAUCUUGUAGGUGUACUUUUGUGGCAGCUUUGAUCUCAUCUGGUACUUGAAAAUUGUCGCUGACACUUUGGUUGUGGGUUGUCCUUCUUUUCUUCACAAGUGGUGGUAUACAGUCAUCGGCGGCUACUUGUUCUUUCUCCUGAGAGUCUGUCAUGACUCCUAGAAUGACAGGGAAUAAUGAUAAUUGUGAUCUGUCUGAUGACAUAAAUAUGUGGAAGCCCCUCUAUACAAGACACUUUACAUAAACCAACGGAUUAGUACACUGGGUAACAUGAUCAUGACGUAGAAAAUUAACCCUAGGAGAUAAUUUGAUAUCUAGAGUCAAUGUUAAUUAACCAAAACUUAUUUGAUAUAGUUACCGAAACAAUAUAUUGGAUUUACGUCGUUGUACAUCGUGCACACAUACCUGUCUAGCGAAGAGGUAGCUAUCAAACACAACAAGGAAUUCCGUGCUUCUAUGCAGUCAUGCACAAAAGAAACAAAUAGAAUUGGCGUCUUCACGUUUUGCCGCGUACACGUGAGAGACCGGACGUGAACGUGAGUAGGCGUCAAUUUGCUGCCACAAUGAUAGCUGUGUCCGUCAAUCUGACAUACCCACACAGAACGUGAAAACGAAGACUCCGAUCAGACAUGAAGCAUGCAGUGCAGUCUACGUCUAUAACAACCAGCGCUAUUACUUCACAACAUGCUACAUUACUCAUUCAAAGUUUUGCUACAAAUGCUGAUCUGCAUCCUGUGAGAAAAGAAAUAGCGACUGCUGCUGUUGCACAUACACAAUGGAAGUUGCCUAUUACAAGUCACAAAUUAUAGAUCUGACCACAAUGUUUGGACGUUAUUAUAAUUAUAGUUCUAA
Molecule: long non-coding RNA, 917 nt
Organism: Corticium candelabrum
Lineage: Eukaryota; Metazoa; Porifera; Homoscleromorpha; Homosclerophorida; Plakinidae
Exons: 4
Source: RefSeq, a predicted model, not a curated record